Molecule: long non-coding RNA, 2799 nt
Organism: Bos taurus (domestic cattle)
Lineage: Eukaryota; Metazoa; Chordata; Mammalia; Artiodactyla; Bovidae
Source: Ensembl
UGAAAGUGCAACAAUCAAUGUGGCAGCAAAUUUUAAAGCUGAGCAGUAGCCACAGGACUGGAAAAGGUCAGUUUUAAUUCCAAUCCUAAAGAAAGGCAAUGCCAAAGAAUCUUCAAAGUGAAAAUGAAGUGAAGUUGCUCAGUCGUGUCCGACUGUUUGUGACCCCAUGGACUGUAGCCUACCAGUCUCCUCCGUCCAUGGGAUUUUCCAGGCAAGAAUACUAGAGUGGGUUGCUAUUUCCUUCUCCAGGAGAUCUGACCAACCCAGGGAUUGAACCCAGGUCUCUCACAUUGUAGGCAGACGCUUUACCGUCUGAGCCACCAGGGAAGUCCAAAGAAUGUUCAAAGUACCACACAGUUGCACUCAUCUCACAUGCUAGCAAAGUCAUGCUCAAAGUUCUCCAAGCCAGGCUUCAGCAGUAUGUGAACUGAGAAUUUCCAGAUGUUCAAGCUGGAUUUAGAAAGGCAGAGGAACCAGAGAUCAAAUUGCCAACAUCCACCGGAUCAUAGAAAAAUCAAGAUAAUUCCAGAAAACCAUCUACUUCUGUUUUAUUGACCACAUCAAAAGCUUUGACUGUGUAGACUGCAACAGACUGUGACAAUUUUUAAAGAGAUAGGAAUAUCACACCACCUGACAUGCCUCCUGAGAAAUCUGUAUGCAGGUCAGGAAGCAACAGUUACAACCAGACAUGGAACAAGAGACUGGUUCCAAAUUGGGAAAGGAGUACAUCAAGGCUGUAUAUUGUUACCCUGCUUAUUUAACUUAUAUGCAGAGUACUUCAUGUGAAAUACCAGGCUGGAUGAAGCACAAGCUGGAGUCAAGAUUGCCGGGAGAAAUAUCAAUAACCUCUGAUAUGCAGAUGACACUACCCUUAUGGCAGAAAGAGAAGAACUAAAGAGCCUCUUGAUGAAAGUGAAAGAGGAGAGUGAAAAAGUUGGCUUAAAGCUCAACAUUCAAAAAAUGAAGAUCAUGGCAUCUGGUCCCAUCACUCCAUAGCAAAUAGAUGGGGAAACAGUGGAAACAGUGACAGUCUUUAUUUUCUUGGGCUUCAAAAUCACUGUAGAUGGUGACUGCAGCCAUGAAAUUAAAAGACGCUUGCUCCUUGGAAGAAAAACUAUGACUAACCUAGACAGCAUAUUAAAAAGCAGAGACAUGACUUUGCCGACAAAGUUCCAUCUUGUCAAAGCUAUGGUUUUUCCAGUGGUCAUGUAUGGAUGUGAGAGUUGAGCAAUAAAGAAGGCUGAGUGCCAAAGAAUUGAUGCUUUUGAACUGUGGUAUUGGAGAAGACUCUUGAGAGUCCCUUGGACUGCAAGGAGAUCCAACCAGUCCAUCCUAAAGUAAAUCAGUCCUGAAUAUUCAUUGGAAGGACGGAUGCUAAAGCUGAAGCUCCAAUACUUUGGCUACCUGAUGCAAAGAACUGACUCAUUGGAAAAGACCCUGAUGCUGGGCAAGAUUGAAGGCAAGAGGAGAAGGGGGUGACAGAGGAUGAGAUGGUUGGAUGGCAUCACCAACUCAAUGGACAUAAGUUUGAGCAAGCUGCAGGAGUUGGUGAUGGACAGGGAAGCCUGGUGUGCUGCAGUCCAUUGGGUCACAAAGAGUCAAACAUGACUGAGCGACUAAACUGAACUGAUGGGACCAGAUGCCAUGAUUACAGUUUUUUGAAUGUUGAGUUUUAAGCCAGCUUUUCCACUCUCCUCUUUCACCUUCAUCAAGACAGUCUCUAAUUCCUCUUUGCUUUCUACCACUAAGAUGGUGUCAUCUGCAUAUCUGAUGUUAUUGAUGUUUCUCCUAGCAAUCUUGAUUCCAGCUUGAGUUUCAUCUAGCUUGGCAUUUCUCAUGAUGUACUCUCAAUAUAAGUUAAAUAAGACAAUAUACACCUUUGAUGUACUCCUUUCCUAAUUUUGAAUCAGCCCAUUUUAACUGUUGCUUUUUGACCUGCAUACUGGUUUCUCAGGAGGCAGGGAAGGUGGUUUGGUGUUCCCAUCUCUUUAAGAAUUUUCCAGUUUGUUGUGAUCCACACAGUCAAGGGCUUUAGCAUAGUCAAUGAAGCAAUAGUAGAUGUUUUUUUGGAAUUCUCUUGCCUUUUCUAUGAUCCAAAGGAUAUUGGCAAUCUGAUCUCUGGUUCCUCUGCCUUUUCUAAAUCCAGCUUGUACAUCUGGAAGUUCUUGGUUCACAUACGUUUGAAGUCUAGCUUGAAGGAUUUUGAGCAUUACCCUGCUAGCGUGUGAAAUGAGUGCAAUUGUGAGGUAGCUUGAACAUUUUUUGGCAUUGCGUUUCUUUGGGAUUGGAAUGAAAACUGACCUUUUCCAGUCCUGUGGCCACUGCUGAGUUUUCCAAAUUUGCUGGCAUAUUGAGUGCAGCACUUUCACAGCAUCAUCUUUCAGGACUUGAAAUAGCUCAGCUGGAAUUCCAUCACCUCCACUAGCUUUGUUCCUAGUGAUGCCCACUUGACUUCACACUCCAAAUGUCUGACUCUAGAUUCAGCAACUUUUCCUCUUGAUGCCAGGGAGGACCCUUCCUGGAUAUCGUGUCCCUCGGGACAGGGAGCGUGCACAUAUGGAGAUCUCUUCAGGUCAGAGUCAAGUAACAGAACGGGUCGGAGGAGGCGCUCAGAAAUCUGCCGUCUGAAGUCUGUGUCUUAGAACAGUGGAUGCAGAAGAGCACACUCGAGCCGGAGAGAAUUAAACACGCACUCUGGGGAGACAUGGUUGAUGCAAGAAUUAAGGCAUGGGGGAGUGAUUCUGGAUUAUACGGAAUUUGACUUAAACUUUAUGCUAAUUAGAGCAGCCUGUCUUAUGG